GCGGGGCGAAAAUCGGUUUUAUCAUGUUUAUUUUCGUACGAAAUUUAAUGGCCAUGUUGAUCUCUGUGGAUAACAACGAUUUUCGCUUGGUAAUCCCUGAAAAUUCCCUCUUAAAACUCAACACUAAACUCUAUGACUAUGAAAACCUUUUUGGAACGAUCCUUGAUUUGUCGUACGUAGUGUACCUAAUGACACCCACGUACUGGUUCCUAAGCGCGGUGCAUCCACUAUGCCACCUACUUUUUGGCUUUUCCUGACAUUUCCCGCACGAACGCUGCAGACCUUCUUGGAGUUGACAAACUGGAGUAGUCGGUUGGUUUAGGAAAAAGGUCCUUUACGCCUUGAGAUCGGCAGCCGAGAACACGCCGAGGGACUUUCCGUUCAAGUCCGACACCUCGUACGAGCUGGUGCCCUUCUUACGGACGAUGAUGCACGGUGUGUACUGGGGUCCGAGCUUGGCGUUGUAUUGGUCUCCUGCCGACGACUGACGAAAGCUUUUUUUAUACACACGCUGACCCACAUCGAAACUUGUUCUCAACAUUCCACGCAACAUACGAAUGCAUUGACUGCGCGACACUCCUGCUGUAUUGACCUCGCGGAUGGUUAAUUCAUGCUCCAACUCAUCAUCAAGCAAAUGAUUUGCAUCCAUCGAGUAGUAUUGGGCUCGAAGAGUAUCGUGUUCCAUUCCGAAAACGCGCAGAAAAAAUCAACAAAUUUAAAAUUUAAAAAGAACGAUCACUACAAAUCCAAACAGUAACAACAAAUUAACAAAAAUUAUAUUUGAAAUUAGUACGUAAGUUUGUAAUGAAGCAUUCGUUCAAACGAAUUGCUUCAAAAGCUAAUAAAUAAUCACUUUCCUUGUUGUUUUAUUUCAACUAUCCGAACGAUCACCACACACAGACAAAACAAUGUGCUCCAAACAAUCUCGAUUCAAUUUAAUCUUUAACAACUUCGACCUUCUUUUCAACAAUCGCCCUUCUCACACAAUUUUGGACAUCAGAACCCCUUCAAUGAAAAAUGGAAUGAUCAAUCGCAGUGUAAAGAGAAUGUAAUUUGGUCGCACUAGUGCGAACGUUAUUCUAGGCUGGCUGGACGUUUUCCCAGAGACGCCUGCGUUGGUUGGUUCUUCACAAGCAAUUCUUCCCAAGCUGGAUUACCCUUGAAAACUGACUAAAGGUCAAAUUUUUGUUGGGCGCCAAAGUGUAACUUAAGGGGUUGUCCGACUACUGAGCGUCACAGAGACUCCCAGAGUUCAAGGCCCUCAGGGUCGGCACGCCUUUAGUCAAGUCGCGCAGCUGGGGAAUGCUUGUGAUGUCCAAUGUAAAACUCCAGGUGUGCGGUCCAAAACUCUACACACUUUAUUCUCUCUCUCUACACUUCUCUUUAUUCCUCCCACUUUCUUACAGACUAAUCUG
Molecule: long non-coding RNA, 1415 nt
Organism: Culex quinquefasciatus (southern house mosquito)
Lineage: Eukaryota; Metazoa; Arthropoda; Insecta; Diptera; Culicidae
Exons: 4
Source: RefSeq, a predicted model, not a curated record